Molecule: long non-coding RNA, 555 nt
Organism: Pelmatolapia mariae (spotted tilapia)
Lineage: Eukaryota; Metazoa; Chordata; Actinopteri; Cichliformes; Cichlidae
Exons: 3
Source: RefSeq, a predicted model, not a curated record
AAGAAGCUCAGUGAGAAUCUGUCUGCAGAGAAAAGCAUCAAUCUGUUCCACUGUCUGAAUGAACUGAAUGAUCGUUCUCUAGUGGAGGAGAUCCAACAGUCCCUGAGAUCAGGAAGUCUCUCCACAGAUAAACUGUCUCCUGCUCAGUGGUCAGCUCUGGUCUUCAUCUUACUGUCAUCAGAAAAAGAUCUGGAUGUGUUUGACCUGCAGAAAUACUCUGCUUCAGAGGAGGCUCUUCUGAGGCUGCUGCCAGUGGUCAAAGUCUCCAACAAAGCUCUGCUGAGUGUCCCUGACCUCUCAGACAGAGGAUAUGAAGCUCUGUCCUCAGUUCUCAGCUCCCAGUCUGCUACACUGAGAGAGCUGGACUUAAGUAACAACAACCUGCAGGAUCCAGCAGUGGAGUUUCUUUCUGCAGGACUGAGAAGUCCACACUGUAAACUGAAUACUCUGAGACUGAGUCACUGUCAGUUCUCAGAGAGAGGCUAUGAAGCUCUGUCCUCAGCUCUCAGCUCCCAGUCCUCUAGUCUGAGACAGCUGGACCUGAGUAACUCUGAC